UACGUAGGUGGCAAGCGUUGUCCGGAUUUACUGGGCGUAAAGGGCGUGCAGGCGGUUUGUUAAGUGCAGGGUGAAAGCUCCCGGCUCAACUGGGAGAGGUCCUUGCAUACUGGCAAACUCGAGGGAGGCAGAGGAAAGUGGAAUUCCCGGUGUAGUGGUGAUAUGCGUAGAUAUCGGGAGGAACACCUGUGGCGAAGGCGGCUUUCUGGGCCUUACCUGACGCUGAGGCGCGAAAGCUAGGGGAGCGAACAGG
RNAcentral lists this ribosomal RNA (253 nucleotides) under uncultured bacterium. RNAcentral describes it as "partial 16S ribosomal RNA". It matches the Rfam family "Bacterial small subunit ribosomal RNA", at positions 524 to 776 of the family's 1533-position model. The record is from RNAcentral.